CCAGUCCUUCGGGGCUGGGGAAAGCGGCGAACGGGUGAGUAACACGUGGGUAAUCUGCCCUCGGCACCGGAUAGCCCGGGGAAACCCGGAUUAAUGCCGGAUGGCCUCUCUGCCCUACGGGGCGGCGAGAAAAGGUAGCUUUGGCCUCCGGCCGAGGAUGAGCCCGCGGCCGAUUAGCUUGUUGGUGAGGUAACGGCUCACCAAGGCGACGAUCGGUAGCUGGUCUGAGAGGACGAUCAGCCACACUGGGACUGAGACACGGCCCAGACUCCUACGGGAGGCAGCAGUGGGGAAUCUUGCGCAAUGGGCGAAAGCCUGACGCAGCGACGCCGCGUGCGGGAAGAAGGCCUUCGGGUUGUAAACCGCUUUCAGGAGGGACGAAGCCACUCAGGUUAAUAGCCGAGAGGGUGACGGUACCUCCAGAAGAAGCCCCGGCUAACUACGUGCCAGCAGCCGCGGUAAUACGUAGGGGGCUAGCGUUGUCCGGAUUUAUUGGGCGUAAAGAGCGUGUAGGCGGCCAUGUAGGUCCGGUGUGAAAACUCGAGGCUUAACCUCGAGAUGUCAUCGGAAACCAUUUGGCUAGAGUCCGGAAGAGGAGAGUGGAAUUCCUGGUGUAGCGGUGAAAUGCGCANAUAUCAGGAAGAACACCAAUGGCGAAAGCAGCUCUCUGGGACGGUACUGACGCUGAGACGCGAAAGCGUGGGGAGCGAACAGGAUUAGAUACCCUGGUAGUCCACGCCGUAAACGAUGGGCGCUAGGUGUGGGCGGUGUCGACU
This 776-nucleotide ribosomal RNA is filed under the name uncultured Actinomycetes bacterium. RNAcentral describes it as "bacterial SSU rRNA". It matches the Rfam family "Bacterial small subunit ribosomal RNA", at positions 72 to 837 of the family's 1533-position model. Lineage: Bacteria; Bacillati; Actinomycetota; Actinomycetes. The record is from RNAcentral.